GCCUGUGGCUAUACCACACUGGAUGCACCUGAUCUUGCCUGAGCUCAGAAGCUCAAUAGGGUCGAGUGGGUCAAGUACGUGGUUGAGAGAUCUUCAUGACCAUGAAGGAAUUGGAU
This 116-nucleotide ribosomal RNA is filed under the name Jaculus jaculus (lesser Egyptian jerboa). Lineage: Eukaryota; Metazoa; Chordata; Mammalia; Rodentia; Dipodidae. The record is from RNAcentral.